AGUGAACGCUGGCGGUAGGCCUAACACAUGCAAGUCGAACGGCAGCACAGGAGAGCUUGCUCUCUGGGUGGCGAGUGGCGGACGGGUGAGGAAUACAUCGGAAUCUACUUUUUCGUGGGGGAUAACGUAGGGAAACUUACGCUAAUACCGCAUACGACCUACGGGUGAAAGCAGGGGACCUUCGGGCCUUGCGCGAUUGAAUGAGCCGAUGUCGGAUUAGCUAGUUGGCGGGGUAAAGGCCCACCAAGGCGACGAUCCGUAGCUGGUCUGAGAGGAUGAUCAGCCAAACUGGAACUGAGACACGGUCCAGACUCCUACGGAGGCAGCAGUGGGGAAUAUUGGACAAUGGGCGCAAGCCUGAUCCAGCCAUACCGCGUGGGUGAAGAAGGCCUUCGGGUUGUAAAGCCCUUUUGUUGGGAAAGAAAUCCAGCUGGCUAAUACCCGGUUGGGAUGACGGUACCCAAAGAAUAAGCACCGGCUAACUUCGUGCCAGCCGCCCGCCGUAA
This 506-nucleotide ribosomal RNA is filed under the name uncultured bacterium. RNAcentral describes it as "partial 16S ribosomal RNA". It matches the Rfam family "Bacterial small subunit ribosomal RNA", at positions 29 to 523 of the family's 1533-position model. The record is from RNAcentral.